AGGGUUCGAUUCUGGCUCAGAACGAACGCUGGCGGCAUGGAUUAGGCAUGCAAGUCGAACGAAGCAGCAAUGCUUAGUGGCGCAAGGGUGAGGAGCACGUGAGUGACUUACCCGCAAGUUUGGAACAGCUCCUGGAAACGGGAAUUAAUACCGGAUGUGAUCAUAGGUCUGCAUGGAUUUAUGAUUAAAGCAGCAAUGCGCUUGCGGAUGGGCUCGCGUCCCAUUAGCUAGUUGGUGAGGUAACGGCCCACCAAGGCGAUGAUGGGUAGCUGGUCUGAGAGGACGACCAGCCACACUGGGACUGAGAACUGCCCAGACUCCUACGGGAGGCUGCAGUCGAGAAUUUUGGGCAAUGGACGAAAGUCUGAACCCCCAGCAAUGCCGCGUGCGGGAUGAAGGUCUUCGGAUUGUAAACCGCUGUUUGGAGGGACGAAACAUGACGGUACCUCCAGAGAAAGCCACGGCUAACUACGUGCCAGCCGCCGC
Molecule: ribosomal RNA, 486 nt
Filed under: uncultured bacterium
Lineage: Bacteria
Description: bacterial SSU rRNA
Rfam family: Bacterial small subunit ribosomal RNA
Source: RNAcentral